UAACUUCAUUCCCUGGCUUGGAAAGUUGCAUUUUCUGUCAUAGGCAAUCUCUUACAGCUCUCUCUUUGUGUAUUAGUGAGACCAAAAAAUAUGUGGUGUUUAUUUUUAAUUUUUCUAGGCCACAUCUGGAAGUAGUUGCACCUUUUCUUAACUUACUGUCUUUGCAAGCUUUUACUUGUUAAUCCAGAGGGAAAUUUUGGAUUCUCAGGGAUCAAGACAGCAUUUUUCCUGUAGAUCUUGAGCGGGGCAUUAACAAACAUAGACAAACAAUGUUUACUUGUCAGUCACAUUUAAGCUGAUGUUGUUUCACUUAAAGAGUGGAAGGAUGCAUCUCAGAAGUCUGAAGAGUAAGAGCAGAGAAAGUUCAGAAUGAACAGAGGUCUCACAUGAACUGUAUUAUCAUCUCUACAGAAGCAGAGAUAAACUAACAGUUCUAUUCCAAAAAAUGUAGAAAUACACUUGCAAAUUUGGGACAUGUUAGCGUGAGAGUGUGAAGAGCCUAAUGAAAGUAGGACAGCAUGUCAGAGGAUUUCUAAUAAAUAUAGAUUAGAAAGUCUUCAACUAGCUGUAAGUUCAUACAUUAUCAUUCCCAGUAAAACUCUGACUUUGGGAAUCUUUUAUGUCAAUUAACUUCUAAACACCUAUAAUAGAACUAUUAACGUUAUUUUAUAGGUUUAGAAAAUAAAGUACAUAACUAAGAGGCUCUAUCAAAAUUUUACAGUAAAUCUAGAGAGCAUGCUUGGAAUGGAAGAUGGGAGUCCUGACUUCUGGUCUCAUGGUAUAAUUGUUUGGCUAGCUCUGGGUGUUUUUUAAUUCAUUUUUAUAGUACUAUAAUCCCCAUAGUACUAAAAUAGAAACCUUGUGCUUCUUUUCUUGAGUGUAAUCCAAAAACCUGGUCUCAAAAUAGGCUGUACUGCUUUUCACCAUGUUUUUUUCCGGAGAAAUAGAAAACCCUCACAAAAUCAUGAAAGCUGUUCCUUACCUUCUCCUUACAGAUGGGCAAGAUUGAACGGUUACCUGACAGAAGCAAGGGAAUUCAAUGUUCAGCAACUAAAAAACAGUGGGAGACAGCAAAGGAAGAGUGAAAUAAUUCUGCAGUGCACAGUGUGCCACAGUUCAUCGUUGCACAACUAUGACUCAACCUUAUCUCUGGCCAACUAGUGUAACCACAUUUAUGUCUUUCUUAGCAUAUCCACUUGUUCCCUGUGAAUUGUGAAGCAAGAUGUGUGUGCUUAUUUCAUUUGGGGUACAGCACGCAGUAUAGCAGGCUUGCUUCAGUUUGUCAUAAAAAAAAACCAAAAAGCCAGAGGAUACAAUUAACUAAUGUCAUUGUGUAUCACAUUUGAGUAUCAGCAUGACAGCUGGUUUAGAGGGCCAGCCAAUAACCCCAAGGCAGAGAUUUAGGGAAAGCCAUGAAUCCUAAAAACGUAGAAGUUGCCCAUUAUGGAGAAAGCAUAAACUCUAAUUCUGAAUAUAGCAGCCCAAAAUUUCAUAUUUUGGAGCUGCACAAUCAGUGUAACUGAGUUUCCUUGGGUUUGUCAGUAUACAUGGUUUCAGUCUACCUGCAUUGUUGGCAUCCUCAGUCCAGCACCACCAUAUUCCACCUACUCUAUUUCCUUGCCAGUCAUUAAAGUUUUCGGAAUCUAAAUAUAUUGUAAACUUCCCUGUAGAAUCCACUGAUCUUUAUCCAUGAAAUGGGAAAGACAGUGGCAUGUAAUGAAAAAGGAAAGAUGUUGCUUUAAUUAUCUUUGAAGCAUAUAAAAGAGAAUACAGCAAACCUGCACUGUCUGAUAGCUUUCUGAAGUUAAAUCCAUUCCCACAUAAGAAACAGACUAAACAGAUAACCUGAACUGUAUCAAGUUCUACUGUUAUGUUUUCAACUUUUUCCAUUGGAUAUAAUAGGUUUUAUACCACUGUACUGGCGGAAUCCAUCCUAAAGAAAACCUAUGGCUAUAGAACAGUAUUUCAUGACAAGUCUAUAGAACAUAUGUAAUUUAUUACAUAUAUAUAACUACGUACUUCGGUGUUCCUCCUAGCCAAAUAGAUUGCGAUGCCCUAUUACAAGUGUUUUCAACAGCAAAUGUUCAAAAGGGCUUUAAGAAGUCAUCUUUGGAUAGGAGACAUAACAAACUUCAGCUGUACCAAGCAAAAUUUAUAUAGAAGAAAACCUCUGAGUAAUAAAGACAGUUAUAUAAUGAAAUUGUUUGGAGGUAAUGUGUGAUUGUUAGGCUAAAAUUAAAGUCAUUGGAUAUUUCUAAGAAAAGGUUAGGUAAACCUCGGUCAGAAAUUUUGUAGUUAAGGUAACGUUAACAGGAUGAGGAGAGUGGCUAGAAAUUAGAUUUCUUGGUUUUCUUUCCAGCCCUAUUUUUCUAUGACUCUGUUAUUCUACAUGACAUAAGAAUGAGCCUCAUUUCAUGGACUAACCCACUGAAAGACAGAACCCAAAAGACAGAAGUAAACCAUGAAUUUUCAUGACAGAAGGGUUCUUACUUAAGGAGAGUUUGUGCUUAAAGCUGAGCUGUUCACAAUUCAUAAGUGAACUGGGAAAAGGAAUGAAUGGUGAUAUGACAACAUUUGAGGAACGUAUCUAUUAAUUAAGAUCUAAAGCUGAUUGAAAAGUACUGCAAGAGGCUUCCAUGACACUGUGUGAGUAGUGGUAAUUGAAAAGCAGUAUUCCAAAGUGCACUGUAAUGCCAAUAGUGGUAGAAAUAUACAGACAUCACAGUGAACUCUAAAAGCUAGUACCAGUCAGGACAAGUCUUGAAGUCAGUGUGGAGCAGUUUUCUGAACAAAGAUUCAGCGCUCAGAAGUAGCUAGUAGCACAAGAAAGGUAAACUUUUUUAGGGAAAGGGUAAGAAAACAGAACAUAGUAUAAAAACAUUUUUAGUACUGCAUAUAACUGUGAUGCACUACUUGCGUAUUGCUUUCAGUUCUAGUAACCCCAUCUCAAAAUCCAUAUAGUAGGAUUACAGUAACAUUCAACCCUGGAUAACUAAAACUCAGAAAUAUGAAAUGGCAAAAUCAUGGGAUACGAAUACAUUAGCAGCUUUUAAAUACAAAAUGCUGCCUCUGUUUUAGCAAGUCUGCAGGACUCAGGUUACUGGAAGCUGGCAUACAGAAGGGGUUAUUGCUGUCUGCUUGCCCUUUUCAUAUACUCUUUCAUUGUGUGCUAGAUGGGCCUCUGGUCUCAUCUACUACAGCCGUUCUUGUGAUGCUAUAAGGAGAGACUAAAUACAUUUGGGUUUGUUAGCUGGGAAAACAAAUGAUUGGGAGAGUGAUGUUAAUAAAAUAGAUUGAGCCAAAAGGCAUAUUUAAUUAAUACUGUGUCAUUUGUGGCCAUUGCGUACUAUGGUCCAGAGGAAAAUUCCAGCUCGGGAAUUAUCUAGAACACAAUUUGUUAGAAUCUGAGGAGAUGUGCUAACAAAAUAAAUGAGUGAACCAAGAGCUGGAUCCCUCCUACCUGUGAAUGUUUUUGAGCUUUGUGAAACUACAGUGGAAUUAGAUUCAGGAAAACCUAAGAACUCCUACACUGAGAGCCUCGAUAUGUUACUGAAUUUCUGCUUUUCUUAUUUCCACCCUAAUUUUAUUAUUUCCUAACUCCAUCCAUGCCUCAGUGGCAAAAUCCUAAAUUAUCUAGAUUCCCGAACUGUAUUUACAGCCAAAUAGGAAAUGACAGCAUCAGCUGCUGGCUCACAACACUGAAGAAGUUGAGCAACUCUGAAUUUUAAAGGAAAGCCAGAUGGUCGAAUGCAAGCAGGAACCACGAGUUCCAUUGUCCUGCAAGGUUUUAUUUCUUUGGGGACCAGAUUUUCUAUCUGUAAUGCAAGGCAGAAUACUUCCCCAUCUUUAGGAAAUCUUUCAGAUUAAAACAGUACUGAAACUAUCAGUUAGCUUUACUAGCUAUGUCCAUCAACCAGUAAACAGUUUGCAGUCAGUCAAAUUUCAGUCAGCCUGAAAAAAAGGACUGACCAAAAUUUUUUUAUACUUCAGUCUAUGAUCUUGACAGUGCAAUUCAGAAAAGAGAAUAAUCUGAGACUAACACCUACUGUUAAUACCAUAUGUAGAAGACACAGAACACUGACUGUUGUAAAAAAACACUUUUCAAACCCUUGCCACCAGACCUCAAAAAUUUUACUGUCAAACCUCUACAGUGCUUCUGGCUGGACGAAGUAUCAAGAAGGUGACUGUGACUUUGGCCUCACAGAAGAUGCAGAAACAAGAGUUGAUGCAAGGGAACUGUGGGGGUGGUGCAUCCAUAGACAAUUACUGCUCUUACUACAGAACGUCAAUGUCCUUGCUGAUGAGUAAGACUUCUUAUCACUAGCUUCUGUCUUACCCUCACUCCAAUUUUACACACAGACAUUCAGCAAAAUUAAGGCAAUCAAAAGUAUUAAAUCAGUGCACCUAAGCUGAAGUACUUUCAACUGCCAUGUUAAUGUUUCUUUGAAGGAUAAAGUGUUCUGUAGCCUCUGAUAGUAUAUUGUGUCUAGUUGGGGUUCAUUUUCUUCAGAGCAGGCCAUAUUAUGUUGUGUUUUAAAUUUGUGACCAAAACAGUGUUGAUAACACACCAGUGGUUUAGCUGUUGCUGAGCAGCGCUUGCAUAGUACCAAGGCUGCCUCUGUUUCUCACUCUGCCUCUGCAGCAAGUAGGCUGACACAAGCUGACCAAAGAGCUACUGCGUGCUGUAUAACAUCAUGCUCAGUGAUACAAUUUGGGGCAGGGGGGAGGUUUUGCAAAGCUGCUGUGGCUUGCAGACUGGCUGGGCAUCAGUCUUCUUGCGGGAGGUGGUGAGUGAGUGCCUUUCCAUCACUUGUUUCUUUUUCUUCCCCCUUUUUUUUUUUCUUUCCUUGACUUAUGAAACUCUUUAUCUUGACCCAUGCAUUUUUCUCCCUUUUGCCCUUUCAGUUCUCUCCCCCAUCCCAUUUCUGGGUGGAGUAAGUGAGCAGCUGGGUGAGCGUUCAGCUGCUGGCAAGGGUCAGCCCACCAACCCAUAGGAAAACUCUGAGGAAAGAAUGAGAAGGAGUUGGGAUGCAUCUUACUGGGCUACUUGUUUUGCCAUGGCUCUCGUCUUUUACUCCCUGUGUGGGAACUACCAGAUGCCUAUUGUUAGGACUGGGUGGAAGAAGUCACAGUUCGUUUUCUCUUUCCCAUCUACUGUUGUCAGCAAGAAGGCAGUAUGGAUCUCAGAAAGUUUAACAAACUAAUAGCAGUUCCUGCAGCGUGAACCAACCAAAUAAAAUGUGCUGCUGCUUCUCUAAUGCAGGCAUAGGCAACCUAUAGCUCUUAAACUCCAUUAAGCUUGUGUGUGGCUUCUGCAAGGGCUACAGCAUAUGACAAAUAGCAGGGAGUGCAAAUACAGUUCCUGCACAUUCUGUAUGUCCAGCUGUCAGUAAAAACAAACUGAAGCUCCCAAAGCCAGAAUUACCCUGUCACCUUGAACCCAGCUCUACCCUCCAGCAGAAUGCUUACCAACAGCCUAUAAUGCCAUUUUAUAGUUUGCCCUCUCCUUGGUACGAUGUCGCAUUAAUUUGAGCUUGCAUCUCUCAUCUUCCUCAGACUGAAACUGUUGUGUAUGAUUCUGCAUAGCCACAGUCUGAUAUCAUGACUGCCAAACCACAAUCUUCCUCUGAAUGAAGUUUUCUUACCAUUGGGUAAACCUAUGGCAAAGCAGGCUCCUCCACUAACCCUGUGACUUCUGAGGAACUGCAGGAAUUUGGAUUCUAUGGGUGCCUGAGCUCUUCAGGACUGUCUGAAGGCAAAAAACAUGAAGAGGACUUCCUGCAUAUUAAAGAUCUUCUACUUGAACAUCCACAGAUGAGAAUCAUAUGCUGUUUCUGCCACCUGCCCCCAAAUGGGUCCCUCAGUGCCAGCAAGGCUGACGAACAACCUCCAGUGAAGUGUCCAAGGGAAUGAGCUAAAGGAGCACCUGCACAACACAUGUGGGAACAGUAACCUGCUGCUGGAUGGUGACAAGCAACGAGAUGUUGUAUCUUCAACUGUUCCACCUAUGUAGGGAAGGAGACGGCAGUCCACUGCCUGGCUGAUGGCUAAACCGUUCAACUGAAUCGUGAAGUCCUCAGAACUUACCAUCCUGCUGACUGAACUGAGUUGUAAAGCUAUACAUACAUGCACAACUGACCUGGAGAACCAAUACUUGCAG
Molecule: long non-coding RNA, 6160 nt
Organism: Falco peregrinus (peregrine falcon)
Lineage: Eukaryota; Metazoa; Chordata; Aves; Falconiformes; Falconidae
Exons: 4
Source: RefSeq, a predicted model, not a curated record